GCAGGUACUCUAAUAAAGCACCCUGAGCUUCUUUCUGCCUGCAAGAGAUACUUUAGCCGAUAAAUAAUCCAUAGUUUGACCAUUUUCAGAUUCAACUACUCUUUUCCUACCAUAGAAUCUAGGGUUUUGGCUAAUGUGGCAUGCUCCAUUUGCCCAAAGAGUGAUCUUUGAUGAUCCAAGGUUGUUCUCCAUUAAAUUAAAACAAACCCAUUUGAGAAUAGAUGGUAAUUUAUAUUUCUGAAAAUGGGUCAUGACUACUUUGGUUAAAUUUGCAGAGUAUUAUUAAAUAGAGAACAAAGGGGACACUUUCUGAGCUUUUUAGUUUAUAUUUAUAUCUAGAAGCUCCUUAAUU
Molecule: long non-coding RNA, 352 nt
Filed under: Panax ginseng (ginseng)
Lineage: Eukaryota; Viridiplantae; Streptophyta; Magnoliopsida; Apiales; Araliaceae
Description: long non-coding RNA (PGIN_LNC018454)
Source: RNAcentral